GUCGUAACAAGGUUUCCGUAGGUGAACCUGCGGAAGGAUCAUUACCACACCUCAAGUCCACUGGCCUCGGCUGGUGGCAAUAUCGAAACGACCGUCUGGCAACAGAUGGGCGUUUUGAGUCCCGCGGACCUUUACAUUUAUGGAGACUUAAUUGUUUCCCAAGUUAAAACCCCGUUUUGUGAUGGUUAACUCUUGUCAUAAAAUAUGAACCAUGAAUCUCUUACUCUGGAGAAACUACCGGCUUCGGUCGACAAGUACUCUGGCUAAAGAACAAUGUCAAAACACUUUCAGCAAUGGAUGUCUUGGCUCCCA
RNAcentral lists this unclassified non-coding RNA (312 nucleotides) under fungal sp. RNAcentral's name for it is "partial internal transcribed spacer region". The stretch from base 1 to 44 matches the Rfam family "Eukaryotic small subunit ribosomal RNA", at positions 1788 to 1831 of the family's 1831-position model. The record is from RNAcentral. Lineage: Eukaryota; Fungi.